This is a regulatory RNA element of 37 nucleotides. It matches the Rfam family "JUMPstart RNA". The record is from Rfam.
CAGCAACUGGUUGCUGGGAGCCAGGGGCGGUAGCGUG